GAUGAAGAACGCAGUGAAAUGCGAUAAGUAAUGUGAAUUGCAGAAUUCAGUGAAUCAUCGAAUCUUUGAACGCACAUUGCGCCCCUUGGUAUUCCGAGGGGCAUGCCUGUUCGAGCGUCAUUAUAACCCCUCAAGCUCAGCUUGGUGUUGGGGCCUGCUGCACUGGCAGCCCUUAAAAUCAGUGGCGGCGCCAUCUGGCUCUAAGCGUAGUAAUUCUUCUCGCUCUGGAGGUCCGGUCGUGUGCUCGCCAGCAACCCCCAAUUUUUUUCAGGUUGACCUCGGAUCAGGUAGGGAUACCCGCUGAACUUAAGCAUAUCAAUAAGCGGAGGA
RNAcentral lists this unclassified non-coding RNA (330 nucleotides) under soil metagenome. Its description in RNAcentral is "partial contains 5.8S ribosomal RNA, internal transcribed spacer 2, and large subunit ribosomal RNA". The stretch from base 1 to 120 matches the Rfam family "5.8S ribosomal RNA", at positions 35 to 154 of the family's 154-position model. The record is from RNAcentral.